UAAAGGCUCAGAGUGCUGGUGUCACUCGGCGAGUCGGGCAGCAUCUCUGGAGAACACGGACUGGUGACGUUUCCAGUUGGGAUCCUUCUACAGAUUUCAGGGAAUUUGAAGACUUCUGUUUGAAAUUUUUUCCAGUUCUCUCUCUUGCCCUCGAAGCUCAGCUGUUCAAAUCCAAAGAUGAAUUGCCUUGUGGUCCUGGUAGCUGGUCUCAUUCUCACUGCCUCUCCGGGUAACUCUUUGCGGUGUUACUCCUGCUCAGUAUCAGCGG
Long non-coding RNA from Amblyraja radiata (thorny skate), 268 nucleotides. RefSeq lists it as uncharacterized. The record is from RefSeq and is a predicted model, not a curated record. Lineage: Eukaryota; Metazoa; Chordata; Chondrichthyes; Rajiformes; Rajidae. The transcript is spliced from 2 exons.